CUCGCUGUUGGCGAUAUACUGUCAGCGGCCAAGCGAAAGUAUUAAGUGAUGCACCUGGGGAGUACGCCGGCAACGGUGAAACUCAAAGGAAUUGACGGGGGCCCGCACAAGCGGUGGAGCAUGUGGUUUAAUUCGAUGAUACGCGAGGAACCUUACCAGGGCUUAAAUGUAGUAUGACCGGCUUAGAAAUAGGCCUUCUCUUCGGAGCAGAUUACAAGGUGCUGCAUGGUUGUCGUCAGCUCGUGCCGUGAGGUGUUAGGUUAAGUCCUGCAACGAGCGCAACCCCUAUUCUUAGUUGCCAGCGGUUCGGCCGGGGACUCUAAGGAGACUGCCAGCGCAAGCUGAGAGGAAGGUGGGGAUGACGUCAAAUCAUCACGGCCCUUACGUCCUGGGCUACACACGUGCUACAAUGGUAGAGACAGAGGGCAGCCACCUGGUGACAGGGAGCGAAUCCUUAAACUCUAUCUCAGUUCGGAUCGAAGUCUGCAACUCGACUUCGUGAAGCUGGAAUCGCUAGUAAUCGCGCAUCAGCCAUGGCGCGGUGAAUACGUUCCCGGGCCUUGUACACACCGCCCGUCAAGCCAUGGAAGCUGGGGGCACCUGAAGUCGGUAACCGUAAGGAGCCGCCUAGGGUGAAACUGGUAACUAGGGCU
This 653-nucleotide ribosomal RNA is filed under the name uncultured marine bacterium. RNAcentral's name for it is "bacterial SSU rRNA". It matches the Rfam family "Bacterial small subunit ribosomal RNA", at positions 816 to 1482 of the family's 1533-position model. The record is from RNAcentral.